RNAcentral lists this ribosomal RNA (253 nucleotides) under uncultured bacterium. RNAcentral describes it as "partial 16S ribosomal RNA". It matches the Rfam family "Bacterial small subunit ribosomal RNA", at positions 524 to 776 of the family's 1533-position model. The record is from RNAcentral.
UACGAAGGGGGCUAGCGUUGUUCGGAAUUACUGGGCGUAAAGCGCACGUAGGCGGACAUUUAAGUCAGGGGUGAAAUCCCAGAGCUCAACUCUGGAACUGCCUUUGAUACUGGGUAUCUCGAGUAUGGUAGAGGUGAGUGGAAUUCCGGGUGUAGAGGUGAAAUUCGUAGAUAUUCGGAGGAACACCAGUGGCGAAGGCGGCUCGCUGGUCCAUUACUGACGCUGAGGUGCGAAAGCGUGGGGAGCAAACAGG